RNAcentral lists this long non-coding RNA (1033 nucleotides) under Bos indicus x Bos taurus (hybrid cattle). Its description in RNAcentral is "lncRNA (ENSBIXG00005013347.1)". Lineage: Eukaryota; Metazoa; Chordata; Mammalia; Artiodactyla; Bovidae. The record is from RNAcentral.
CGCUGCUGCAGAGACCCCGCCUGGCCCGCGGGCCGCGCCCGGGAAGGGACCCUGGCUCCCCAAAUCAAAGCGAGCUGUAAGGCAUCUUUAAAAAGCUCAGACAGAAGCGUUCGACGGAGACCCUCAGUCCUUGCUGGACAAGCCACUGCCACUUGAAGUUUUAAGGAAUGGUUGAAGGGCGCACAGAGGAACAUUUGGUUAUACAAAAGGAUUGAUUUUUACGAGAAGCUUCAAAAGACGCCCCGGAAAGUGGGGCCUUCUUUCUCGGCUUAUGGAAUGGAAGGAACAGCGUGAACAGCGAGAAACUGCAGCCCGGCGACCCCGAGGCCCGGAGCAGGACAAGAUUAUCUGUAAAUCAGAUAAGAAGGAUUCUCAAAGUAAAAGAUAUCUUAGUCGCUUACAUCAGAUGUAUUCCACUUCGCUCGCCAACAUGGAGUUCUCCAGGAGCCUGCUGGAGGCGAGCCGCCGGGGUGCAGACGUGGGCGCGGACGGCAGAGCCGGCGGUCUGUGGGACCCCGCGUUCCUCAGUGGACAUGGGCAGCACCAGGUGCGGCCCCCGGAGAGGCGGCCUGAGGGUGCCCACUGGGCCGCUGGUCGUCAGCGCGAAGCCCGGCCUCCUCUCAUCUUCCUGAGAUGCGACAGCCUGCCUGGCAGGAAGAAAGAUUCCAAUGAGAAGGCAAGAGGACACGCAGCAGCCCUGGGUGGCAUGAGUAACCUUCCAGAACAAAUGAGGAGUAAGCCUGCCUCUCCAGGGAUGACCACAGCACCCCUCACCCUGGAACAAGCAAGUCAGAAGUCCCGUGUUCUGGAGGCUAAGACAGCAAGUCGAUACUGGACUAACUAUGUGGAUUGAGAAAGCGAAUGUAGUGUCUCACCUGCAUGAAAAGAAUGAAGAAAUGUUGAAACUCCCCCCAAAAUAAUUAAAUGGCAGAUUUCUUUUUCUUCAAAUUUAUGACAAGAAAAUAUGGUAUUAUCUAGUAAAUAAUAAUAUAAACCCAGAAAUAUGAAUAAAAAUCAGUAGAAAUAAGAAUCA